UACGAAAGGUGCAAGCGUUACUCGGAAUCACUGGGCGUAAAGCGCACGUAGGCGGACUCACAGGUCAAUUGUGAAAUACCUGGGCUCAACCCGGGAACUGCAGUUGAAACCGUUUGUCUUGAAUACCUGAGAGGGUGGGGGAAUACCUGGUGGAGAAGUGAAAUUCGUAGAGAUCAGGGGGAACACCGGAGGCGAAGGCGCCUGCCUGGCAGUGUAUUGACGCUGAGGUGCGAAAGUGCGGGGAGCAAACAGG
Molecule: ribosomal RNA, 253 nt
Filed under: uncultured bacterium
Lineage: Bacteria
Description: partial 16S ribosomal RNA
Rfam family: Bacterial small subunit ribosomal RNA
Source: RNAcentral